This 445-nucleotide ribosomal RNA is filed under the name uncultured bacterium. RNAcentral's name for it is "bacterial SSU rRNA". It matches the Rfam family "Bacterial small subunit ribosomal RNA", at positions 354 to 796 of the family's 1533-position model. The record is from RNAcentral.
GUAGGGAAUAUUGCGCAAUGGAGGCAACUCUGACGCAGCCAUGCCGCGUGCAGGAAGAAGGCGCUACGCGUUGUAAACUGCUUUUAACCGGGAAGAAACCCCAGGACGUGUCCUGGGUUGACGGUACCGGAGAAAUAAGCACCGGCUAACUUCGUGCCAGCAGCCGCGGUAAUACGAAGGGUGCAAGCGUUAUCCGGAUUCAUUGGGUUUAAAGGGUGCGUAGGCGGAGCGUUAAGUCAGUGGUGAAAUCCUGCAGCUUAACUGUAGACUUGCCAUUGAUACUGGCGCUCUUGAGUGCGCUUGAAGUGGGCGGAAUGUGCCGUGUAGCGGUGAAAUGCUUAGAUAUGGCACAGAACACCAAUUGCGAAGGCAGCUCACUAAGGCGAUACUGACGCUGAGGCACGAAAGCGUGGGGAUCGAACAGGAUUAGAAACCCGUGUAGUCC